RNAcentral lists this ribosomal RNA (668 nucleotides) under Lactobacillus delbrueckii subsp. lactis. RNAcentral's name for it is "bacterial SSU rRNA". It matches the Rfam family "Bacterial small subunit ribosomal RNA", at positions 57 to 707 of the family's 1533-position model. The record is from RNAcentral. Lineage: Bacteria; Bacillati; Bacillota; Bacilli; Lactobacillales; Lactobacillaceae.
GCAAGUCGAACGCGCAGCGAAAGGUGCUUGCACCUUUCAAGCGAGUGGCGAACGGGUGAGUAACACGUGGAUAACCUGCCUCAAGGCUGGGGAUAACAUUUGGAAACAGAUGCUAAUACCGAAUAAAACUUAGUAUCGCAUGAUACAAAGUUGAAAGGCGCUACGGCGUCACCUAGAGAUGGGUCCGCGGUGCAUUAGUUAGUUGGUGGGGUAAAGGCCUACCAAGACAAUGAUGCAUAGCCGAGUUGAGAGACUGAUCGGCCACAUUGGGACUGAGACACGGCCCAAACUCCUACGGGAGGCUGCAGUAGGGAAUCUUCCACAAUGGGCGAAAGCCUGAUGGAGCAACGCCGCGUGUGUGAUGAAGGCUUUAGGGUCGUAAAGCACUGUUGUAUGGGAAGAAAUGCUAGAAUAGGGAAUGAUUCUAGUUCGACGGUACCAUACCAGAAAGGGACGGCUAAAUACGUGCCAGCAGCCGCGGUAAUACGUAUGUCCCGAGCGUUAUCCGGAUUUAUUGGGCGUAAAGCGAGCGCAGACGGUUGAUUAAGUCUGAUGUGAAAGCCCGGAGCUCAACUCCGGAAUGGCAUUGGAAACUGGUUAACUUGAGUGUUGUAGAGGUAAGUGGAACUCCAUGUGUAGCGGUGGAAUGCGUAGAUAUAUGGAAGAAC